RNAcentral lists this long non-coding RNA (1633 nucleotides) under Nicotiana benthamiana. RNAcentral's name for it is "long non-coding RNA (NBEN_LNC022894)". Lineage: Eukaryota; Viridiplantae; Streptophyta; Magnoliopsida; Solanales; Solanaceae. The record is from RNAcentral.
AAAAAUGUACAGAGUUUAUCUAUACCAUGUACAAUCAGAUCUUUCUAUAAUAACAUACCUAUAUAACAACACUUCAUUAUAAAAAACAAGCUUUUUCAGAACCAAUUUUUAUGUUAUAUUGCAAUAUAUGUUCUCUAUAACAACAUUUCACUAUAACAUCUUAAAAAAUUCGGAACAAACGAGUCUGUUAUAGAGAGAUUUGACGGUAUAUACAGCGAGCCCAUUGGCUAUAUUUGCAAAGUUCGACCAUUUUAAAGUUGUUAAGGUCAAUUUUAAUUAGUCUUGAGAUGACAGGAAAAUUGCCACACUUAUGAAAGGCAUCAUCCAUAAGAACACCAGAUUCUUUUACAUCUUUUUGAAUUUUGCCCCUUACCAUAUGAAGCCUCAAUAAUGAUCAGCAUGUCUCAUCCUUGAGAGCAGCUGUAACCAAAAUCCCUCUGCCAAUAAUCACAUAAUAAGGCAUCAAACGACAGAAUCAGGAGUCAUAACUGAACAAAUGAUGAAAUGGCCAAUCUUUUCUUUGAUUCUUCACUGUGUUACAAAUCUAUAAAUACACCAUCCAUAGAAUAUAUUACUCUAUCUGCUUCAGGCUUUUCUGUUAGAAGUAGCUGAAUAAAGAAUGUCUAGGAGUCUGAUAAGGAUUUAGAUCUAUCAAUUUCACUAUAAGGAGAGGGAAUAUAAAUUACAUUUAUGAAAAAGAUCUUCUAAUUUAUGUAAAGCCAAUAAAAAUAUCAUCGCAGCGUACUUGCUCAGUCCAUUUCCAGCGCAACAUAGUUAUACACAUGUUAUACAUGAGUUAUACAUAUAUUAUACACCCGCGGGCUAUUUUUAGUUUAAGAGAUCAGUUGGGCGGCUAUUUGAGUUAAUUCUGGAAUAACAACAAAUUAGUGUUUUAACUCCAAGUGCUUUUAUCUGAAGAAGAUAAUCUGCUAAAUGGGGGAUAUCAACUUAAAUCCAUUCCUUAGCACUUCUAUGCAAUCACUUAGCCCCUUUCCAAAACAAUGAAAUUGGUCUCUUCAAUAUCCUGUUCCAACCUAAGCAGGGGCGAAGUUAUGUAUGGCCAAGCCCUUUGUCAGGUAAAAUAUUACUUGUUAUUGAUUCAAAAAUAGACUUUGAACACUCACGGGCAAAGAACACCCUUAUUGAAUUUCGUAUUGAUUAAAAAAUAGACUUUGAAUACUCACGGGCAAAGAACACCCUUAUUGAAUUUCGUGGCUUUGUCACUGAACCUAAACCAUGUCAAGUAUAGACAGUUAUAACAACAUACUUCAUGAAUAAUACACAAUGCUUCUUUUAUAAGAUUAUACAUAAAAUACUGGAACAUACAAUCAAAAGAAUUUACUUUUACCACUUUUAGGCCAUAUGGCAAGAAAUAAUCUUAAUGCAUUUCUCAAUCACACUGCUUCAAUGUGAAGCAAAGGGUUAUAACUGAAAGGUUGGCUUGAAAAAAGAAGCUCAGUAAAGCACUGACCUUUCUUCACUGCAAGUAGAAGAUACCAAUUCUACAGCACUCAUUAAGAAUAUUGAACUUAAUAAAGGAUAGAACUUCACAUUAUUGAAGCUUGGAUCUUCUAAAGAAAGCUUCGUCUUAAAAAAAUUAGCCAAACAAAAUUUAGGAAAGCGUUGUUGUCCC